GAUGAACGCUAGCGGUGUGCCUAAAGCAUGCAAGUCGAACGUGAUCCCUGGAUUCGUCUGGGGUGAAAGUGGCGAACGGGUGAGUAACACGUUGGUGAUCUGCCUCGAAGUGGGGGAUAACUAUUGGAAACGAUAGCUAAUACCCCGGAUGUUAUCGUGCUUGGAAAGCGAUGACUAAAGCUCCGGCGCUUCGAGAGGAGCCUGCGUCCCAUCAGCUAGUUGGUAAGGUAAUGGCUUACCAAGGCAAAGACGGGUAGGGGGCGUGAGAGCGUGACCCCCCACACUGGUACUGACACACGGACCAGAUACCUACGGGUAGCAGCAGCUAGGAAUAUUGGGCAAUGGGCGCAAGCCUGACCCAGCAACACCGCGUGGAGGACGAAGGCCUUCGGGUCGUAAACUCCUUUUAGGGGGGAAGAGCAAGGACGGUACCCCCUGAAUAAGGCCCGGCUAACUACGUG
This 461-nucleotide ribosomal RNA is filed under the name uncultured organism. RNAcentral's name for it is "bacterial SSU rRNA". It matches the Rfam family "Bacterial small subunit ribosomal RNA", at positions 28 to 507 of the family's 1533-position model. The record is from RNAcentral.